GAGCCCGUGAAUCUGGGCGGCGGAAUUCAGGGUUGACCGGCGUUCACGCGUCGGGCUGCUUGAUAUUUCCGUCGCCGAGUAGACGUUGCGACCUGUUUGACGUCGGUCCUUGUUCGGAGGAACUGCGAACGAGUUUGUUGCCGUGGUUGCGUUUCGGCGCGCCCCGGCGGCGAAGUCGCAGACUUCUGGCCGACUUGUCAGACAGUAAGCGGAACGGUGUCUGAUGUCGUYGCCUCGUGCACGCGGCAUCRGGGCCGGUCAGYAACGAUUUCAUCGGGCCUCUGUCMGACC
This 291-nucleotide ribosomal RNA is filed under the name Madarococcus cunninghamii. RNAcentral describes it as "partial 28S ribosomal RNA". Lineage: Eukaryota; Metazoa; Arthropoda; Insecta; Hemiptera; Eriococcidae. The record is from RNAcentral.